RNAcentral lists this ribosomal RNA (434 nucleotides) under uncultured bacterium. RNAcentral describes it as "partial 16S ribosomal RNA". It matches the Rfam family "Bacterial small subunit ribosomal RNA", at positions 29 to 507 of the family's 1533-position model. The record is from RNAcentral.
AGCGAACGCUGGCGGCAGGCCUAACACAUGCAAGUCGAACGAACCUUUCGGGGUUAGUGGCGGACGGGUGAGUAACACGUGGGAACGUGCCUUUAGGUUCGGAAUAACUCAGGGAAACUUGUGCUAAUACCGAAUGUGCCCUUCGGGGGAAAGAUUAAUCGCCUUUAGAGCGGCCCGCGUCUGAUUAGCUAGUUGGUUGAGGUAAUGGCUCACCAAGGCGACAAUCAGUAGCUGGUCUGAGAGGAUGAUCAGCCACAUUGGGACUGAGACACGGCCCAAACUCCUACGGGAGGCAGCAGUGGGGAAUCUUGCGCAAUGGGCGAAAGCCUGACGCAGCCAUGCCGCGUGAAUGAUGAAGGUCUUAGGAUUGUAAAAUUCUUUCACCGGGGACGAUAAUGACGGUACCCGGAGAAGAAGCCCCGGCUAACUUCGUG